Myotis brandtii (Brandt's bat) is the source of this 377-nucleotide long non-coding RNA. RefSeq lists it as uncharacterized. Lineage: Eukaryota; Metazoa; Chordata; Mammalia; Chiroptera; Vespertilionidae. The record is from RefSeq and is a predicted model, not a curated record. The transcript has 3 exons.
AACUUUUCCAGCCGGGAAGUCACAGCUUGGUGGCUUAACACUGUCUGCCUUAAGAUUGUCAGCUACCUGGGGUCGAAGUCGAUGUCAAACUCAUCUGUUUCCCAAGGCUCCUGACACGUGGGAUUUGCUAUUAAGUCAUCUACCAAGUGAUAAGGACGCUCAAGCAGCUCCUGGAAAAGCCCCGGUGGGAAGAAACUGAGACCUCCCAGGAAAUGCCAGCACCAACUCACCAGCCUUGUGACCGCACCUCUUUGGAACCAGAGCUUGCAGCUCCAGUCAGUUGUGAUGACCGCAGCCCCAGUGACAUCUCAACUGAAGCCUCAUGUGACCUCCUGAACCAGACCCACCUAGCUCAGUUCCUGAGUUCACGACCCACA